Molecule: ribosomal RNA, 245 nt
Filed under: uncultured Actinomycetes bacterium
Lineage: Bacteria; Bacillati; Actinomycetota; Actinomycetes
Description: uncultured actinobacterium partial 16S ribosomal RNA
Rfam family: Bacterial small subunit ribosomal RNA
Source: RNAcentral
CUAGCCGUAAACGAUGGGCACUAGGUGUGGGGGGUCAUCGACUCCCUCCGUGCCGAAGCUAACGCAUUAAGUGCCCCGCCUGGGGAGUACGGCCGCAAGGCUAAAACUCAAAGGAAUUGACGGGGGCCCGCACAAGCAGCGGAGCAUGUGGCUUAAUUCGACGCAACGCGAAGAACCUUACCAGGGCUUGACAUGCAGGGAAAAGCGGCGGAAACGUCGUGUCCGCAAGGGCCCUGCACAGGUGG